AAGUCGUAACAAGGUUUCCGUAGGUGAACCUGCGGAAGGAUCAUUAGUAUUGGAUAAUACCUUCCAAACCCAUCUGUGUAUCUUUCCUGUUGCUUCCGUACUGCGUGGACUUUGAUCCCCUCUUGCCCCGUACCUCAGUAUGGUUCAGAGUGUCGGUACGGGAGGUAUACAUUAAACUCUUGCAUUUCAUGUCAUUUGUCUGACCUGUUUAUGAAAACAAGUUAAAACUUUCAACAACGGAUCUCUUGGUUCUCGCAUCGAUGAAGAACGCAGCGAAAUGCGAUAAGUAGUGUGAAUUGCAGAAUUCAGUGAAUCAUCGAAUCUUUGAACGCACAUUGCGCCUCCUUGUAUUCAGGGAGGCAUGCCUGUCCGAGCGUCAUUAAAAACCACUCAAGCUCCUUUGCUUGGUUACUGGAAGAAGAGUUCACCUGUUGUGUGGGGACUCCCUUCCGAAAUACAGUGGCGGGAAGGUCUCUGGUACCCGGCGUAGUAGUAACUGUUCGUCGUGUGUCCUCUGGCGUUCCUGCCGUCAAACCCCCAAUUCUUUCUAGGUUGACCUCGGAUCAGGUAGGGAUACCCGCUGAACUUAA
RNAcentral lists this ribosomal RNA (590 nucleotides) under uncultured Pyronemataceae. RNAcentral describes it as "eukaryotic LSU rRNA". The stretch from base 226 to 379 matches the Rfam family "5.8S ribosomal RNA". Lineage: Eukaryota; Fungi; Ascomycota; Pezizomycetes; Pezizales; Pyronemataceae. The record is from RNAcentral.